This 292-nucleotide ribosomal RNA is filed under the name uncultured bacterium. Its description in RNAcentral is "partial 16S ribosomal RNA". It matches the Rfam family "Bacterial small subunit ribosomal RNA", at positions 505 to 796 of the family's 1533-position model. The record is from RNAcentral.
GUGUCAGCAGCCGCGGUAAGACGAACCGAGCAAACGUUAUUCGGAAUCACUGGGCUUAAAGGGCGCGUAGGCGGGCAUCCAAGUCUGUGGUGAAAUCCGGCAGCUUAACUGUCGAACUGCCGUGGAUACUGGGUGUCUCGAGGGAGGUAGGGGCGUGCGGAACUAUUGGUGGAGCGGUGAAAUGCGUUGAUAUCAAUAGGAACUCCGGUGGCGAAGGCGGCACGCUGGACCUCUUCUGACGCUGAGGCGCGAAAGCCAGGGGAGCAAACGGGAUUAGAUACCCCUGUAGUCC